RNAcentral lists this ribosomal RNA (498 nucleotides) under uncultured bacterium. RNAcentral's name for it is "partial 16S ribosomal RNA". It matches the Rfam family "Bacterial small subunit ribosomal RNA", at positions 28 to 507 of the family's 1533-position model. The record is from RNAcentral.
GAUGAACGCUGGCGGCGUGCCUAAUACAUGCAAGUCGAGCGAACGGACGAGAAGCUUGCUUUUCUGAUGUUAGAGGCGGACGGGUGAGUAACACGUGGAAAACCUACCUAUAAGACUGGGAUAACUUCGGGAAACCGGAGCUAAUACCGGAUAAUAUUUUGAACCGCAUGGUUCAAAAGUGAAAGACGGUCUUGCUGUCACUUAUAGAUGGAUCCGCGCUGCAUUAGCUAGUUGGUAAGGUAACGGCUUACCAAGGCAACGAUGCAUAGCCGACCUGAGAGGGGCGAGGGGCCAGCCUGAAAUUGAGACCGGGCCCAGCCCCCGCGGGGGGGAGGCAGUGGGAAUCCUUCAGAGAGGGAGAAGGGCGGAAGGGAGCACCGCCGGGGGAGUGAUGAGGUUGUUGGGAUCAAAAACCUUUUUUAUGAGGGAAAAACAUAUGUGUAAGUAACUGGACACUUCUUGACGGUACCUAAUAAAAAAGCCACGGCUAACUACGUG